GAUGAACGCUAGCGGCAGGCUUAAUACAUGCAAGUCGAGGGGUAACAUGGUAGCAAUACUGAUGACGACCGGCAAACGGGUGCGGAACACGUACAGAACCUUCCUUUAAGCGGGGAAUAGCCCGGAGAAAUCCGGAUUAAUACCCCAUAGUAUUAUUGGGUGGCAUCACUUAAUAAUUAAAGAUUUAUCACUUAAAGAUGGCUGUGCGGCUGAUUAGGUAGUUGGUGCGGGUAACGGCCCACCAAGCCAUCGAUCAGUAACUGGUGUGAGAGCACGACCAGUCACACGGGCACUGAGACACGGGCCCGACUCCUACGGGAGGGCAGCAGUAAGGAAUAUUGGUCAAUGGACGCAAGUCUGAACCAGCCAUGCCGCGUGAAGGAUGAGGGCCCUCUGGGUUAGUAAAC
RNAcentral lists this ribosomal RNA (407 nucleotides) under uncultured bacterium. RNAcentral describes it as "bacterial SSU rRNA". It matches the Rfam family "Bacterial small subunit ribosomal RNA", at positions 28 to 430 of the family's 1533-position model. The record is from RNAcentral.